AUGGAGGAAUGCUUACUGGUUGAAGCGACGAGGAGAAGAAAAUGCAGCUUCGAUCUUGCUCACAAGGAUUUUGGUUGCCAAGGUUAUUCAGACAAAGACUGCCAAGGUUUGUAUCAUAUAAUGUCUCAAAAAAGUCAUCCCCGCCGUUGUGGUCUUCCGAAUAACCGCCAUGUCGUCAAGCCUGGAACGUCCGUCGUGCACUGCUUAUACUUCUCUUUCUUUUAUAUUCAGUUCGUGUUAACAUCCUCUUGCCUACUUCUCUUUCUUUUAUGGACUGAGGAAGAGGAUAACCUUUUGAUAAAGACAGUGAAGAAGCAUGAUGAAAGCAACUGGAAAAAUAGGUGGAUGUGGUAG
This is a non-coding RNA of Vicia faba (fava bean), 354 nucleotides long. NCBI's taxonomy places the organism in Eukaryota, Viridiplantae, Streptophyta, Magnoliopsida, Fabales, Fabaceae. The record is from the annotation of a GenBank genome assembly.